ACUCCUACGGGAGGCAGCAGUGGGGAAUAUUGCACAAUGGGCGCAAGCCUGAUGCAGCCAUGCCGCGUGUAUGAAGAAGGCCUUCGGGUUGUAAAGUACUUUCAGCAGUGAGGAAGGUGGAUAUGUUAAUAGCAUAUUCAUUUGACGUUAGCUGCAGAAGAAGCACCGGCUAACUCCGUGCCAGCAGCCGCGGUAAUACGGAGGGUGCGAGCGUUAAUCGGAAUUACUGGGCGUAAAGCGCAUGCAGGUGGUUUGUUAAGUCAGAUGUGAAAGCCCGGGGCUCAACCUCGGAAUUGCAUUUGAAACUGGCAAACUAGAGUACUGUAGAGGGGGGUAGAAUUUCAGGUGUAGCGGUGAAAUGCGUAGAGAUCUGAAGGAAUACCGGUGGCGAAGGCGGCCCCCUGGACAGAUACUGACACUCAGAUGCGAAAGCGUGGGGAGCAAACAGGAUUAGAUACCCUGGUAGCGUGCUAGUCGUAGGGGACAA
Molecule: ribosomal RNA, 487 nt
Filed under: uncultured bacterium
Lineage: Bacteria
Description: bacterial SSU rRNA
Rfam family: Bacterial small subunit ribosomal RNA
Source: RNAcentral